Molecule: microRNA precursor, 59 nt
Filed under: Pongo abelii (Sumatran orangutan)
Lineage: Eukaryota; Metazoa; Chordata; Mammalia; Primates; Hominidae
Description: miRNA
Source: RNAcentral
CUGUGUCGGGGAGUCUGGGAUCUGGAAUUCUCCAGAGCAUCUGUGCCCCUACUUCCCAG